UGGCUCAGAUUGACGCUGGCGGCAGGCCUAACACAUGCAAGUCGAACGGUAACAGGAAGCAGCUUGCUGCUUUGCUGACGAGUGGCGGACGGGUGAGUAAUGUCUGGGAAACUGCCUGAUGGAGGGGGAUAACUACUGGAAACGGUAGCUAAUACCGCAUAACGUCGCAAGACCAAAGAGGGGGACCUUAGGGCCUCUUGCCAUCGGAUGUGCCCAGAUGGGAUUAGCUAGUAGGUGGGGUAACGGCUCACCUAGGCGACGAUCCCUAGCUGGUCUGAGAGGAUGACCAGCCACACUGGAACUGAGACACGGUCCAGACUCCUGCGGGAGGCAGCAGUGGGGAAUAUUGCACAAUGGGCGCAAGCCUGAUGCAGCCAUGCCGCGUGUAUGAAGAAGGCCUUCGGGUUGUAAAGUACUUUCAGCGGGGAGGAAGGGAGUAAAGUUAAUACCUUUGCUCAUUGACGUUACCCGCAGAAGAAGCACCGGCUAACUCCGUGCCAGCAGCCGCGGUAAUACGGAGGGUGCAAGCGUUAAUCGGAAUUACUGGGCGUAAAGCGCACGCAGGCGGUUUGUUAAGUCAGAUGUGAAAUCCCCGGGCUCAACCUGGGAACUGCAUCUGAUACUGGCAAGCUUGAGUCUCGUAGAGGGGGGUAGAAUUCCAGGUGUAGCGGUGAAAUGCGUAGAGAUCUGGAGGAAUACCGGUGGCGAAGGCGGCCCCCUGGACGAAGACUGACGCUCAGGUGCGAAAGCGUGGGGAGCAAACAGGAUUAGAUACCCUGGUAGUCCACGCUGUAAACGAUGUCGACUUGGAGGUUGUGCCCUUGAGGCGUGGCUUCCGGAGCUAACGCGUUAAGUCGACCGCCUGGGGAGUACGGCCGCAAGGUUAAAACUCAAAUGAAUUGACGGGGGCCCGCACAAGCGGUGGAGCAUGUGGUUUAAUUCGAUGCAACGCGAAGAACCUUACCUGGUCUUGACAUCCACGGAAGUUUUCAGAGAUGAGAAUGUGCCUUCGGGAACCGUGAGACAGGUGCUGCAUGGCUGUCGUCAGCUCGUGUUGUGAAAUGUUGGGUUAAGUCCCGCAACGAGCGCAACCCUUAUCCUUUGUUGCCAGCGGUCCGGCCGGGAACUCAAAGGAGACUGCCAGUGAUAAACUGGAGGAAGGUGGGGAUGACGUCAAGUCAUCAUGGCCCUUACGACCAGGGCUACACACGUGCUACAAUGGCGCAUACAAAGAGAAGCGACCUCGCGAGAGCAAGCGGACCUCAUAAAGUGCGUCGUAGUCCGGAUUGGAGUCUGCAACUCGACUCCAUGAAGUCGGAAUCGCUAGUAAUCGUGGAUCAGAAUGCCACGGUGAAUACGUUCCCGGGCCUUGUACACACCGCCCGUCACACCAUGGGAGUGGGUUGCAAAAGAAGUAGGUAGCUUAACCUUCGGGAGGGCGCUUACCACUUUGUGAUUCAUGACUGGGGUGAAGUCGUAACAAGG
Molecule: ribosomal RNA, 1485 nt
Filed under: uncultured bacterium
Lineage: Bacteria
Description: 16S ribosomal RNA
Rfam family: Bacterial small subunit ribosomal RNA
Source: RNAcentral